CGCCAGUCCCGAGGAGGUGGGGACGCCGCCGAAGGGAACGUAAAAGAGCGCACCGAACCAGGAAGUGCCGCGCCACUACAGUUCCGGGAGAAAAAGAACGUCUGCGCCUAUCAGCGAAUCUUUAGCAUUAGGAUGAAGAAUGAAGCGGGCGGAAGAGAAUCCAGGGUGAUUUGGAGCUGAAACCGCAUUCUUGUUCUCAGGCAUGUCUGUCAUCAUGCAGUAGUGAUUAAGUAUGUGUGCAAGUGGGCACAGCCAUGAUAAUGAAGGAAGCCAUGAUAAUGCAAGUUGAGAAAUUCCAGGAGCUUUGCCUGUGGUGGACAGAGUUUGAGGAGGGGAAGGAGCACAUACAGGGAUGUGAUAUUGUAGAGUCAACUCUCUGAAGCUGCCAUUUGCUCCAGGAAACUCAUCUCUGUAAUCUGGAGAUUAGUCAAUGGUAGCUUGGAAAGCUUAUGGACUACCUGUGAUGAAAGAAGUCAUAAUUCCGUAACUAAAUUGUAAAAUUCUAAUUACCUUCUGCCCGUCCCCAACCAGACACUUUGCACCGGUGACCUGAAGUGAACAUAUAAGGUGACCAAGGGACGCAUGCUGCCAUCGUGUUAGGUGGAGAACAUGGCUGCCCUGAAUCCCUGCUUUUCAUUUCCAGCAAUGCAAUGUCGUUUUCAUAUGUUUUAGAAUUAUAGUUCUCAUGGAUUAUCACUCUUCUUAAUGUAAAGGUUUCCAUCCCGGAAUUCUUAAGUAUUGUAUUUAACAUUCCAGUCCAUAUUCUAUAGGCAUGAACAUAGCUUUGUCUGAAAAAAAAAAGUACAAAUAAAAAUGUAAACCUUG
This is a long non-coding RNA of Sphaerodactylus townsendi, 825 nucleotides long. RefSeq lists it as uncharacterized. The transcript has 2 exons. Lineage: Eukaryota; Metazoa; Chordata; Lepidosauria; Squamata; Sphaerodactylidae. The record is from RefSeq and is a predicted model, not a curated record.